RNAcentral lists this ribosomal RNA (2484 nucleotides) under Firmicutes bacterium HGW-Firmicutes-1. Its description in RNAcentral is "bacterial LSU rRNA". It matches the Rfam family "Bacterial large subunit ribosomal RNA", at positions 1 to 2536 of the family's 2925-position model. Lineage: Bacteria; Bacillati; Bacillota. The record is from RNAcentral.
UAGUUCAAGCUAAUAAGAGCAUAGGGUGGAUGCCUUGGCACUAGGAGCCGAUGAAGGUCGCGAUAAGCUGCGAAAAGCUUUGGGUAGGCGCAAAUAGCCGAUGAUCCAGAGAUUACCGAAUGGGGAAACCUGGCUGGGAAGAUCCCAGUCACUGCAUGGUGAAUACAUAGCCAUGCAGGGGGAACUCGGGGAACUGAAACAUCUAAGUACCCGAAGGAAGAGAAAGAAACAUCGAUUACCUAAGUAGCGGCGAGCGAAAGGGUAAGAGGCCAAACCAAAGGACCUAGUCCUUUGGGGUUGAGGACUGCAUACGGUAUUAAGAAGAUUUAACCGAAGUGUUUUGGAAAAGCACGUCAAAGAGGGUGAAAACCCCGUAGGUGAAAAGUUGACUUAGCCAGCAGUAUCCAGAGUAGCACGAGACACGUGGAACCUUGUGUGAAGCAGGGGGGACCACCCCCCAAGCCUAAAUACUACCUAGUGACCGAUAGCGCAUAGUACUGUGAAGGAAAGGUGAAAAGAACCCCGGGAGGGGAGUGAAAAAGAACCUGAAACCCUAUGUUUACAAGCAGUGGAAGCACGUUAAGGUGCGACCGCGUACUUUUUGUAGAACGGUCCAGCGAGUUACUUAUACUGGCGAGGUUAAUGACUUAAGGUCAGGAGCCGAAGGGAAGCCAAGUCUUAAUAGGGCGUUAAGUCAGUGUGAGUAGACCCGAAACCGGGUGACCUAUCCAUGGGCAGGUUGAAGUUACCGUAAAAGGUAAUGGAGGACCGAACCCACGCAUGUUGAAAAAUGCGGGGAUGACCUGUGGAUAGCGGAGAAAUUCCAAUCGAACCCGGAGAUAGCUGGUUCUCCUCGAAAUAGCUUUAGGGCUAGCCUUGAAAUAGUCUAAUGGAGGUAGAGCACUGAAUUGCCUAGGGGGCCUCACAGCCUACCGAAGCAUAUCAAACUCCGAAUGCCAUAUAGAUGUUUUUCAGGAGUCAGACUAUGGGAGAUAAGUUUCAUAGUCAAAAGGGAAAGAGCCCAGACCACCAGCUAAGGUCCCAAAGUGUGCAUUAAGUGGAAAAGGAUGUGAGAUUUCACAGACAACUAGGAUGUUGGCUUAGAAGCAGCCAUGCAUUCAAAGAGUGCGUAAUAGCUCACUAGUCGAGAGAUCUUGCGCCGAAAAUGUCCGGGGCUAAAAUGCACCACCGAAGCUGUGGAAAGCACUUAUUUAGAUAAGUGUUUUGGUAGAGGAGCAUUCUUAACACGACGAAGCUGUACCGUAAGGAGCAGUGGAGAGUUAAGAAGAGAGAAUGCUGGAAUGAGUAGCGAGAGAGAAGUGAGAAUCUUCUCGGCCGAAUAUCUAAGGUUUCCAAAGUAAAGCUGAUCUUCUUUGGGUAAGUCGGGACCUAAGGUGAGGGCGAAAGCCGUAGCCGAUGGACAACUAGUUGAAAUUCUAGUACUACGUAUGAACAGAACUGUGGGGACACAGAAGGAUAGGGAAAUCUGGGAAUGGAAAAACCAGUGCAAGCACAAAGCUUGGUUGAUAGGCAAAUCCGUCAACUAAAAGGCGAAGUGUGAUGCGGAUCGAAAUUAAAGUAGAGAAGUUCCUAAAUCCAUACUGUCAAGAAAAGCCGCUAUUGCUUCAUACGUACCCGUACCGCAAACCGACACAGGUAGAUGAGGAGAGAAUCCUAAGGCCGACGGGAGAAGCGUUGUUAAGGAACUCGGCAAAAUGACCCCGUAACUUCGGGAGAAGGGGUGCCUACGCAAGUAGGCCGCAGAGAAUAGGCCCAAGCGACUGUUUAGCAAAAACACAGGUUUAUGCAAAACCGAAAGGUGAAGUAUAUGAGCUGACGCCUGCCCGGUGCUGGAAGGUUAAGGGGAGUGCUUAGACUUUAGUCGAAGGUGCGAACUUAAGCCCCAGUAAACGGCGGCCGUAACUAUAACGGUCCUAAGGUAGCGAAAUUCCUUGUCGGGUAAGUUCCGACCCGCACGAAAGGCGUAACGAUAGUACCGGUGAAGAUGCCGGUUACCCGCGACAGGACGGAAAGACCCCGUGGAGCUUUACUCUAGCUUGAUACUGGGAUUCGAUAUUACAUGUACAGGAUAGAAGGGAGACUUUGAGCUAUGGACGCCAGUCUGUAGUGAGUCGUUGUUGGGAUACCUUCCUUGUAGUAUUGGGUUUCUAACCUAGCACCGUGAUCCGGUGUGGGGACAAUGUCAGGUGGGGAGUUUGACUGGGGCGGUCGCCUCCGAAAGUGUAUCGGAGGCGCUCAAAGUUCAUCUCAGAAUGGUUGGAAACCAUUCGCAGAGUGCAAAGGCAUAAGAUGGAUUGACUGUGACACCGACGGGUGGAGCAGGUAGGAAACUAGGACUUAGUGAUCCGGUGGUAUGAAUGUGGGAUUGCCAUCGCUCAACGGAUAAAAGCUACCCCGGGGAUAACAGGCUUAUCACUCCCAAGAGUUCACAUCGACGGAGUGGUUUGGCACCUCGAUGUCGGC